RNAcentral lists this unclassified non-coding RNA (355 nucleotides) under soil metagenome. Its description in RNAcentral is "partial contains 5.8S ribosomal RNA, internal transcribed spacer 2, and large subunit ribosomal RNA". The stretch from base 1 to 120 matches the Rfam family "5.8S ribosomal RNA", at positions 35 to 154 of the family's 154-position model. The record is from RNAcentral.
GAUGAAGAGCGUAGCGAAAUGCGAUAAGUAGUGUGAAUUGCAGAAUUCAGUGAAUCAUCGAAUCUUUGAACGCACAUUGCGCCUUCUAGUAUUCUGGGAGGCAUGCCUGUUUGAGCGUCAUUAAACCUCUCUCAAGUAUGAUUACUUGGAUGUGAAGGAAGAGUACCUUAAACUUAAGGAGUGUUCUCCUUUGAAAUUGAUUAGCAGAUGGUAAUGUUAUUAAAUCCCUGAUGUUGUAAGAAAUAACAGUGGUUUUGUAGACUAUUAUCUAGCUUUAAAUUAUAAUUUUUAUUAUGGUUGACCUCAAAUCAGGUAAGGAUACCCGCUGAACUUAAGCAUAUCAAUAAGCGGAGGA